UACGGAGGGUGCGAGCGUUAUCCGGAAUCACUGGGUUUAAAGGGUGCGUAGGCGGUUAUAUAAGUCAGUGGUGAAAGGCCGUCGCUUAACGAUGGGACUGCCAUUGAUACUGUAUAACUUGAGAGAGGUUGAGGUUGGCGGAAUGUGGCAUGUAGCGGUGAAAUGCUUAGAUAUGCCAUAGAACACCAAUUGCGAAGGCAGCUGACUAGACCUCAUCUGACGCUGAGGCACGAAAGCGUGGGGAGCGAAC
Molecule: ribosomal RNA, 250 nt
Filed under: uncultured bacterium
Lineage: Bacteria
Description: partial 16S ribosomal RNA
Rfam family: Bacterial small subunit ribosomal RNA
Source: RNAcentral